CGUAAUGAGCCUUAAACCAUUUUAAUGUGGCUUUACAAUCUGUUUAGCUUUUUUUUACUUAGUUAAACUUAGUUUACUUAGUUAAAAAACGUAAUAGUUUUUGAUUUUGCACCCAAAGUUCUCGAGGUAAGCGCCUGCGCAAAGAAACUCCUCCCCAAGAGCCGUUGGAAAAGUUGAAACGUGACAGAAAAAAAGGUUAGGCUGUGACUAGUUUUAUUCUUCUCAAAUCUCCACGAUUACCUACUUGGACGCACUGGAAGAGGCUGCUUUCAUCUCGCAAAAGGGCUGAAAGCGUGGCAACAUUGGCACCACCGUCUCUUCUACCCCAGAGGGUUUCCCCCUAAAGACCGUUAGGAAUGUGGAAGUCAUGGAAGGAAAACUGGCAAAUCCAAACUUCAUGUCCAAACUGGUUGCAGCUGUGACUGACAUAGGGGGGACAACUGUUGACGAGGCCACAAGAAGGAUGAUGACCUUCCUCCUAGACCAUGGCCUAUCCAGGCAGUACAACUUUGUGGGCCAAAACGGGAAGAGUUCAAGGCCUUACAACUGUAUGAAGAGGUUUAAAGAAAAACGGCAUGACCAGUCAAAUCACCCGUAAAGAUGCCGAGAACGAGAAGGCGGUCUCCAAGUGGCUCAUUGGUGCUAGGGACC
Molecule: long non-coding RNA, 651 nt
Organism: Alosa sapidissima (American shad)
Lineage: Eukaryota; Metazoa; Chordata; Actinopteri; Clupeiformes; Clupeidae
Exons: 4
Source: RefSeq, a predicted model, not a curated record